GAUGAACGCUGGCGGCGUGCCUAAUACAUGCAAGUCGAGCGAACGGACGAGAAGCUUGCUUCUCUGAUGUUAGCGGCGGACGGGUGAGUAACACGUGUAUAACCUACCUAUAAGACUGGGAUAACUUCGGGAAACCGGAGCUAAUACCGGAUAAUAUUUUGAACCGCAUGGUUCAAAAGUGAAAGACGGUCUUGCUGUCACUUAUAGAUGGUUCCGCGCUGCAUUAGCUAGUUGGUAAGGUAACGGCUUACCAAGGCAACGAUGCAUAGCCGACCUGAGAGGGUGAUCGGCCACACUGGAACUGAGACACGGUCCAGACUCCUACGGGAGGCAGCAGUAGGGAAUCUUACGCAAAGGGCGAAAGCCUGACGGAGCAACGCCGCGUGAGUGAUGAAGGCCUUCGGAUCGUAAAGCUCUGUUAUUGGGGAAGAACAUAUGUGUAAGUAAAUGUGCACAGAUUGACGGUACCUAAUCAGAAAGCAACGGCUAACUACGUG
RNAcentral lists this ribosomal RNA (497 nucleotides) under uncultured bacterium. RNAcentral describes it as "partial 16S ribosomal RNA". It matches the Rfam family "Bacterial small subunit ribosomal RNA", at positions 28 to 507 of the family's 1533-position model. The record is from RNAcentral.